RNAcentral lists this non-coding RNA (31 nucleotides) under Rattus norvegicus (Norway rat). The record is from RNAcentral. Lineage: Eukaryota; Metazoa; Chordata; Mammalia; Rodentia; Muridae.
UGGUGCAGAGAGACGAUUCCUUGAUAAGGAC